This 875-nucleotide ribosomal RNA is filed under the name human gut metagenome. RNAcentral's name for it is "bacterial SSU rRNA". It matches the Rfam family "Bacterial small subunit ribosomal RNA", at positions 33 to 906 of the family's 1533-position model. The record is from RNAcentral.
ACGCUGGCGGCGUGCCUAACACAUGCAAGUCGAACGAAGCUUGAUUUCUGAUUUUUUCGGAAUGACGAAUGAUAUGACUGAGUGGCGGACGGGUGAGUAACGCGUGAGCAACCUGCCCUUCGGAACGGGAUAGUGUCUGGAAACGGACAGUAAUACCGCAUAACAUAUAUUGAUCGCAUGGUUGAUAUAUCAAAACUGAGGUGCCGAAGGAUGGGCUCGCGUCUGAUUAGAUAGUUGGUGGGGUAACGGCCUACCAAGUCGACGAUCAGUAGCCGGACUGAGAGGUUGAACGGCCACAUUGGGACUGAGACACGGCCCAGACUCCUACGGGAGGCAGCAGUGGGGAAUAUUGCACAAUGGGGGAAACCCUGAUGCAGCAACGCCGCGUGAAGGAAGACGGUUUUCGGAUUGUAAACUUCUGUUCUUAGUGAAGAAUAAUGACGGUAGCUAAGGAGCAAGCCACGGCUAACUACGUGCCAGCAGCCGCGGUAAUACGUAGGUGGCAAGCGUUGUCCGGAAUUACUGGGUGUAAAGGGAGCGUAGGCGGGAUGCCAAGUCAGCUGUGAAAACUAUGGGCUUAACUUGUAGACUGCAGUUGAAACUGGUAUUCUUGAGUGAAGUAGAGGUUGGCGGAAUUCCGAGUGUAGCGGUGAAAUGCGUAGAUAUUCGGAGGAACACCGGUGGCGAAGGCGGCCUACUGGGCUUUAACUGACGCUGAGGCUCGAAAGUGUGGGGAGCAAACAGGAUUAGAUACCCUGGUAGUCCACACUGUAAACGAUGAUAACUAGGUGUGGGGGGUCUGACCCCUUCCGUGCCGCAGCUAACGCAAUAAGUUAUCCACCUGGGGAGUACGACCGCAAGGUUGAAACUCAAAG